Molecule: ribosomal RNA, 492 nt
Filed under: uncultured bacterium
Lineage: Bacteria
Description: partial 16S ribosomal RNA
Rfam family: Bacterial small subunit ribosomal RNA
Source: RNAcentral
AGUGAACGCUGGCGGUAGGCCUAACACAUGCAAGUCGAACGGCAGCACAGUAAGAGCUUGCUCUUACGGGUGGCGAGUGGCGUACGGGUGAGGAAUACAUCGGAAUCUACUUUUUCGUGGGUGAUAACGUAGGGAAACUUACGCUAAUACCGCAUACGACCUACGGUUGAAAGCAGGUGAUCUUCGGACCUUGCGCGAUUGAAUGAGCCGAGGUCGGAUUAGCUAGUUGGCUGGGUAAAGUCCCACCAAGGCGACGAUCCGUAGCUGGUCUGAGAGGAUGAUCAGACAAACUGGAAGUGAGACACGGACAAGACUACUACGGGAGGGAGCAGUGGGGAAUAUUGGACAAUGGGCGCAAGCAUGAUCCAGCAAUACCGAGUGGGUGAAGAAGGCCUUCGGGUUGUAAAGCCCUUUUGUUGGGAAAGAAAAGCAGCAGGUUAAUACCCCGCUGUUCUGACGGUACCAAAAGAAUAAGCACCGGCUAACUUCGUG